Molecule: ribosomal RNA, 492 nt
Filed under: uncultured bacterium
Lineage: Bacteria
Description: partial 16S ribosomal RNA
Rfam family: Bacterial small subunit ribosomal RNA
Source: RNAcentral
AGUGAACGCUGGCGGUAGGCCUAACACAUGCAAGUCGAACGGCAGCACAGUAAGAGCUUGCUCUUACGGGUGGCGAGUGGCGGACGGGUGAGGAAUACAUCGGAAUCUACUUUUUUGUGGGGGAUAACGUAGGGAAACUUACGCUAAUACCGCAUACGACCUACGGGUGAAAGCAGGGGAUCUUCGGACCUUGCGCGAUUGAAUGAGCCGAUGUCGGAUUAGCUAGUUGGCGGGGUAAAGGCCCACCAAGGCGACGAUCCGUAGCUGGUCUGAGAGGAUGAUCGGCCACACUGGAGCGGAGACACGGUCCAGACUCCUACGGGAGGCAGCAGUGGGGAAUAUUGGACAAUGGGCGCAAGCCUGAUCCAGCCAUACCGCGUGGGUGAAGAAGGCGUUCGGGUUGUAAUGCCCUUUUGUUGGGAAAGAAAAGCAGCAGGUUAAUACCCCGCUGUUCUGACGGUACCCAAAGAAGAAGCACCGGCUAACUUCGUG